UUAAGUUCAGCGGGUAUCCCUACCUAAUCCGAGGUCAAUCAUUAAAAAUGGGGGGUUUUGACGAGUAUCCACCAGGACUCUAUAGCGAUGAAUUUACUACGCUUAGAGCCUGACAGCACUGCCACUGAUUUUAGAGGCUGCCUUUACAGCAGGCCCCAACACCAAGCUAGGCUUGAGGGGUGAUAAUGACGCUCGAAUAG
RNAcentral lists this unclassified non-coding RNA (200 nucleotides) under uncultured Tetracladium. RNAcentral's name for it is "sequence contains ITS2". Lineage: Eukaryota; Fungi; Ascomycota. The record is from RNAcentral.